This 1101-nucleotide long non-coding RNA is filed under the name Anas platyrhynchos platyrhynchos (common mallard). Its description in RNAcentral is "lncRNA (ENSAPLG00000017041.1)". The record is from RNAcentral. Lineage: Eukaryota; Metazoa; Chordata; Aves; Anseriformes; Anatidae.
UCCUACAUAUGGCUCCUGAGGGCUUUCUGCACUCCCAUUAUCCUAUUUUGUUCUCCUUUUGUGAGUUCACCAGAUGACUGAAUGCGCAAGGUUAAUAUUGUACUCAGCGAGUCCUUAGAUGGAACUGCUACGACUUGAUGGAAAGUCGUAUUUCUUUUUUUGAAGAUGGGAUAAUAUAGGAGUGCCAAUGGCUUCUUGCACAUAGGGGGAAAAAAAGAUGAGUCUGUGAGAUCUGAUAAUGUUCCCUGAUCCCCGUAUCUUGCAAUAAAUGCCAUAAAAAAAACACUGAGUGAGGCACAGCUGUAGUUCUUCUACACUAUUACAGAGCAAGUACUUUCAAAAGUAUCCAUUGGAGGACACUAGAACACAACAAAUCACAGGAAAUAUGCUGUUUAAAAAAAAAAAAAAAGAAAAAAAAAGUACAUUUCUCUUUCAAAGAAGAAAAAUGAAAGUAAAACGUUGUUUUAUUUACAUAGCCUGAAAAUCAUUUGUUACCUGACUGUUUUUCUUUGUCACACCUUCUAUAGAUUCAUUCCUGCUUUGUUUUUGGAACAGUUGCUGAAAUGAUUUUCCUCCUCUGCUGUUCAGAGGGUUGAGGUAGCAGGUGCAAAAGAAAAUCCGACAUCUUCGCUCACAAGGAGAGAUGCCUGGACAGGGUUUACAGUCCAUCAACGCCGUAAGAGCAGGGGUGAUGUAAGACAAGGCGACAGCACUCAAGCCCAAAACCUGACGGAUGGACUCUCUUGGAAGGAAGGGAUUCUUCUUUCCAAUUCCUUCAGUUUGGGGACCUGACGUGGUCCCUUCCAAACUGAGGUAGUUUCUUCUGUGUAAUUUUUUCCAACAGACAAUUUUCAUUUGGAAAUAUAUAACUGACAGAUCUGCAGAGGUUCUGGCAAGAGAUGGUUUUCUGUUGCUUAUCCUGAGUAAUCUGAGCUAAUGUUGCUUUAUUGUUGCAUUUAAUCUUGUUGCUUUUUAUUUUUUUUUAUUAUUUUACUUUGGAUAACUUGCUAAAAUCCAAACAACUUAUGUUGAAGGGAGGACAAUGCAGCCAGUUCAAGACCUGUCUAUGCAGUAAUAAAUAUAUUCAAAGAAGAAGCUGCA